RNAcentral lists this ribosomal RNA (494 nucleotides) under Fusarium sp. 2 FLS-2010. RNAcentral describes it as "eukaryotic LSU rRNA". The stretch from base 177 to 330 matches the Rfam family "5.8S ribosomal RNA". The record is from RNAcentral. Lineage: Eukaryota; Fungi; Ascomycota; Sordariomycetes; Hypocreales; Nectriaceae.
GGGGGUGAACCUGCGGAGGGAUCAUUACCGAGUUUACAACUCCCCAAACCCCUGUGAACAUACCAAUUGUUGCUUCGGCGGAUCAGCCCGCUCCCGGUAAAACGGGACGGCCCGCCAGAGGACCCCUAAACUCUGUUUCUAUAUGUAACUUCUGAGUAAAACCAUAAAUAAAUCAAAACUUUCAACAACGGAUCUCUUGGUUCUGGCAUCGAUGAAGAACGCAGCAAAAUGCGAUAAGUAAUGUGAAUUGCAGAAUUCAGUGAAUCAUCGAAUCUUUGAACGCACAUUGCGCCCGCCAGUAUUCUGGCGGGCAUGCCUGUUCGAGCGUCAUUUCAACCCUCAAGCCCAGCUUGGUGUUGGGACUCGCGAGUCAAAUCGCGUUCCCCAAAUUGAUUGGCGGUCACGUCGAGCUUCCAUAGCGUAGUAGUAAAACCCUCGUUACUGGUAAUCGUCGCGGCCACGCCGUUAAACCCCAACUUCUGAAUGUUGACCUC